Long non-coding RNA from Quercus robur (English oak), 491 nucleotides. RefSeq lists it as uncharacterized. The record is from RefSeq and is a predicted model, not a curated record. The transcript is spliced from 2 exons. Lineage: Eukaryota; Viridiplantae; Streptophyta; Magnoliopsida; Fagales; Fagaceae.
GAUCCAAAACCCGAACAGAAAACCCAAGUAACAGUAUCCAAAUGACACUCUAGUUUUCAAAUAUGAUCCACCAUCUCCAAACACAUUUCCUCACAGUGUUUACUUGCUACCAAACUUCCGGAGCUUCACCAAAUGUAACUUGAGAAAGGCCACGAUGGUGGGAAAUGUGACACAAGGCGGCGGGGAGGGCUUCGAUUUUGAGCUGAAAAGGCCACGGCAGCGUUACUACUUUGCCUGCGGUGAGCGCAAUGGCUUUCAUUGCGUGAAUGGAACCAUGAAGUUCUUUGUGAAGCCAAUAUUCCGCUAGUAUAGAUAAUUACUAUACAAUGUGCAUGUCAUGGGAAACACUACUUGCUGUUAUCUCCUUUUAUGUCUUUUGUUGUGUUGUAGUAGAUAAUGUGUCCUUCUUCACUUCUUCCUUUUAUGUUAUUAAAUUAAAGACUAUUUGUAAAUUUGAAUAAAUAUUAAGGGAUUGAUUGCUUAUUUUAUAA